UCCCCAGACUCCUACGGGAGGCAGCAGUGAGGAAUAUUGGUCAAUGGCCGGAAGGCUGAACCAGCCAAGUCGCGUGAGGGAAUAAGGCCCUAUGGGUCGUAAACCUCUUUUGUCAGGGAGCAAAGGCGUCCACGUGUGGACGAGAGGAGGGUACCUGAAGAAAAAGCAUCGGCUAACUCCGUGCCAGCAGCCGCGGUAAUACGGAGGAUGCGAGCGUUAUCCGGAUUUAUUGGGUUUAAAGGGUGCGUAGGCGGAUUUUUAAGUCAGCGGUAAAAUGUCCGGGCUCAACCCGGGCCGGCCGUUGAAACUGGGGAUCUUGAGUGGGCGAGAAGUAUGCGGAAUGCGUGGUGUAGCGGUGAAAUGCAUAGAUAUCACGCAGAACUCCGAUUGCGAAGGCAGCAUACCGGCGCUCAACUGACGCUGAGGCACGAAAGCGUGGGGAUCGAACAGGAUUAGAUACCCGCGUAAU
This 469-nucleotide ribosomal RNA is filed under the name uncultured bacterium. RNAcentral's name for it is "bacterial SSU rRNA". It matches the Rfam family "Bacterial small subunit ribosomal RNA", at positions 328 to 794 of the family's 1533-position model. The record is from RNAcentral.